UAAGAGGUAGCAAUUACACUGAAGUUUGGUUGCUUGGGAUUGAUCCUACAUGGGCGGUAAAAGGUUCCACCUGAAUCAUCAACCCCCAGGAUCAAACCAUAUAUGAAGAAAGUACACAACAACAGAGACCUAUUCUCUCAAACUCAACGCAAGAACACAGACGAACAUUCAACCCAACCGCAAUUUUCUUCUCCUUACAACUCAUAGUCUCAUAUAAUCCAGUCUAAUUUCCCUCUUGACCGAUUGGGUAUGCAUUUUCUCAAUCGUUUAACAUCAAACAUCUCGAGGCCACAUUUCAAUAACAUGUGCGUCACAACAUAAACAAAAAAUCAGAAUCUUACCCAACCCAUAACCCGGUGAUCUCAUCUCCAACCCAUGAAAUUCAAUACGGAAACCAAUCUUGAGAUGGGAUAUCACCCAAGUCUCAAUGGCAUCGGACUUCAAUGAAGGAAAAUCAUAGGCUCCCCGGACUCGAUUUCCACUGGAACCCAAAAGCGGAAAGCUUACGUAGAAUCAAUUGUGGUGGAUAAAAAGAAACGAAGAACACUCACUGUGUAGACGAUUCUUACCAGAUCGAGUCAUUGAUUUCUCAUAGAGAAGGGAUGAUUCCAGUUUCCAGUUUCC
RNAcentral lists this long non-coding RNA (624 nucleotides) under Linum usitatissimum (flax). RNAcentral describes it as "long non-coding RNA (LUSI_LNC007316)". Lineage: Eukaryota; Viridiplantae; Streptophyta; Magnoliopsida; Malpighiales; Linaceae. The record is from RNAcentral.